UGGGGAAUAUUGCACAAUGGGCGCAAGCCUGAUGCAGCCAUGCCGCGUGUAUGAAGAAGGCCUUCGGGUUGUAAAGUACUUUCAGCGGGGAGGAAGGGAGUAAAGUUAAUACCUUUGCUCAUUGACGUUACUCGCAGAAGAAGCACCGGCUAACUCCGUGCCAGCAGCCGCGGUAAUACGGAGGGUGCAAGCGUUAAUCGGAAUUACUGGGUGUAAAGCGCACGCAGGCGGUUUGUUAAGUCAGAUGUGAAAUCCCCGGGCUCAACCUGGGAACUGCAUCUGAUACUGGCAAGCUUGAGUCUCGUAGAGGGGGGGUGAAUUCCAGGGGUAGCGGUGAAAUGCGUAUAGAUCUGGAGGAAUACCGGUGGCGAAGGCGGCCCCCUGGACGAAGACUGACGCUCAGGUGCGAAAGCGUGGGGAGCAAACAGG
RNAcentral lists this ribosomal RNA (429 nucleotides) under Chloroflexota bacterium. RNAcentral's name for it is "Chloroflexi bacterium partial 16S ribosomal RNA". It matches the Rfam family "Bacterial small subunit ribosomal RNA", at positions 355 to 776 of the family's 1533-position model. Lineage: Bacteria; Bacillati; Chloroflexota. The record is from RNAcentral.